RNAcentral lists this ribosomal RNA (253 nucleotides) under uncultured bacterium. RNAcentral's name for it is "partial 16S ribosomal RNA". It matches the Rfam family "Bacterial small subunit ribosomal RNA", at positions 524 to 776 of the family's 1533-position model. The record is from RNAcentral.
UACGAAGGGUGCUAGCGUUGUUCGGAAUCACUGGGCGUAAAGCGCGCGUAGGCGGCUUUGCAAGUCAGAGGUGAAAGCCUGGAGCUCAACUCCAGAAUUGCCUUUGAAACUGCAUGGCUUGAGUGUCGGAGGGGAUAGGGGAAUUUCUAAUGUAGCGGUGAAAUGCGUAGAUAUUAGAAGGAACACCGGUGGCGAAGGCGCCUAUCUGGACGACAACUGACGCUGAGGCACGAAAGCGUGGGGAUCAAACAGG